UGUGGGAGAUCUUUGGAGACAGGGAGGCA
RNAcentral lists this non-coding RNA (29 nucleotides) under Homo sapiens (human). Lineage: Eukaryota; Metazoa; Chordata; Mammalia; Primates; Hominidae. The record is from RNAcentral.